UAUCAGGGGCGUAGCUAGGUAUUCAUUCAACUGUAGGCACCAAUCGGUAGGGGGUCUGGCGGCCGCUUAAGGCCCCAGCAGUUCCAGGGCAGAGGCCUGGUAGGGGGUUCAGGGGGGCUUGCCCCCCUGACGGAAAACGGUUUUCAGCGUUUUAGCUGCAAAAUUUAAUGUACAAAAAUAUUAAAUUUACUGGUUAUUUAAUCAGGAUAAUUAUUAUAUACAUGAUGAAAAGUUAAAAGAAUUAUGAAUAAUGUACCAUAACAUCUGACUGGUGAAUUAAAAAACCCAGUACAAUCCGUAAUAUAAAAAAAAUAUUUACAAUAUGCAUUGCCCAGUGUAGAUCAGCGUAUCAUAAUUAAGCAGUACACCCUGUUUGGUAUUAUCAUAUCUAUUCCGUUUUGAUUGAUAUAUAUGUUCACUUAAUUAAUAGUACAUAUUGACGAUCCUACAUUUAAAAAAAAUAGGCACGUAAACAAUGAUACUACUAUAAUAGAACUAUCAUUUUGGCUAGACAUCAACCAUCAAUCUUUUGAAUCUUACACCUUCACCCUAGCCACACAAACGCAUACAAACAUAGUCGAUGCCUAACAAAAUUCAAGAAAUUCGUAUUUCUUUAUAUAUCCCCUUCUGUAAAAUCCCUACCUGCUUAGGAAUUUUGAAUAAUUGUGGCCAGUACAAGCAGAUUUGAGAGUACUAAAAUUUACUGGAAGCCAGUUGAUUGAUUGAUUUUUUACAUCCAGUGUCAAAUAUUUAUGCAAGUUCAGGACCGUUGAAAUUUUUUUUUACAAUAAAUACAACUUGGAGCUAGGUCCUGUAAUAGGUGUCGUCCAGGACGAAGGUCUAGAAAUUUAAAAAUACCAUGCAUUGGAAAAUGAGGGAUUAUUGGAUAGGAGCAUAAAAUUUGCCUUUCAGUAGACCAACUACGAUCUCCUCAAAGAGUUUCAUUCUCUCUACAACUAGGCAUCAGAUUUAAUGUUCCCAUUCUGACCAGGCGUGACUGCGUAUUAAUACAUCCUCCACAGCCAAACGGACGACCAACAUUGGCAAGUCGGGUGAAGACAAAGUGGAAAGCUAUUUGAAAACUAACAACAACUAAUUAAAAAACUUGUGUGUCUAAGUUGAGGUUCAUUCAAGUUUUUGUUGAUAGAGGUGAAAUGAUAUGAGCAAAGUUCUAGUUUUAAUAUAGUUUCUAUAUAAGGUAAAAUCGUAAAAACAUUCAAUUCUAUCCAAUGUUCCAUUCACUAAGGACGAGAGACUAGUGUACACAUGACAAUCGAUAAUUUAAGAGUUUUGACAACUUCACCGGCUU
RNAcentral lists this long non-coding RNA (1309 nucleotides) under Mytilus galloprovincialis (Mediterranean mussel). The record is from RNAcentral. Lineage: Eukaryota; Metazoa; Mollusca; Bivalvia; Mytilida; Mytilidae.